This 1355-nucleotide long non-coding RNA is filed under the name Coturnix japonica (Japanese quail). RNAcentral describes it as "lncRNA (ENSCJPG00005001310.1)". Lineage: Eukaryota; Metazoa; Chordata; Aves; Galliformes; Phasianidae. The record is from RNAcentral.
CUUAUUCCUUUGACCAUGCAUUUGGAGCUACCUAGAUUAUGCCUGCCGGGCCUGGUGCAUGAAAUCUUUUCCAAGUCCUCCCUUUUGCUUCAUGAUGAUGCAGAAGGUGACUCUUCAGAGCACUCGGCGGUGGUUGGAACAGCUUGUUCUGCCCUUGGAUCUCCCAUAUGAGUUCUGCAUCUCCCGUGGCUUGGUCUUCUGGUGCUCCUCCAGCACUGCACAAGUGCCUGGCCUUGGCUUGGUCACCCUGCCCCAGCUCACCUGUGUCUCGUGUCCCUGCCUGCCCCAGAACACCUUGCACGGCAGCUCGAUCUGCUGCUCAGAUGGCUCCCUCCUUAUUUCCUUUGAUAUUUAACAGAAAAUAAUUCAGCAGUGAGCUUUAUUUGAGCAGCAGGAUAGAUUAAAAAAUGAAAUAUGUUUAGCAAGAUUUGGGGGAAAGGCUGGAGUAAUUAAUUUUCAAUAAUACCUGGCAUUUCUAGAACUCCUUUCAUCCCGAGAUCACCAAACAGUUUACAGACAUUAAUUAAUUAAAGCAUUAUGAUGCCCCAGUGUGGGGCCAUUGCCUGCAUGUCUGACUCAGACAAACUCUCCCCAGAUCCCUGGACAGGCGAAUGCUGUGCACUGCAGUGUCUGCACCAGGGCUAUACCCAGGAGUAAAUACUGCUCAGCUUUCCUAAGGUUUGCACUCUGUGGCCCUAUGUAAAUAUUUUCCAGUGAGUUUGAUUAUUUGUCUUUUAUUCUCUGUCAGGAAAGCCCCAAAUAUCUCAGUAAUAACAUUUCCAGUGUAUGUGAGCAGGAGGGCAGUUCUGAUGGUUAUUUUUUGAUUCAGCUUCCCAUUAAAACAUCUCUGCUCUUGAAACUCCCGUUGCAGGCUUGGAGCUGGACAUGUAUUUUAAAGUUUGAUUUUGGAGUAAGUUUGCUGGGCAUUUUUGACAGCACAGUAAAUUCCAUGGAAAGAGAAGAGGUGCUCUGUGUUCACCCAGAGGGAUGCACGUAACAUCACACUCCUGGAAAUCACCCUGAAGUACAAGUUCAGUGAAAUCUUAUGAAAGCUAUAGAUUAUACAAACUUUCCUCACUCCAAUGAUUUGAUUCAUGAACGUGUAAAUAGAUAGAUAGAUAGAUCCAUCAAGGAAAUCCCAAGGGAACAAUGCAAUGGUGUUUGUGAUUGGAAAAAUAUUAUAAAAGAGCUCAAGUAGAGCCAAUAGUUAGGCGGUUUUGUAGCGCCGAGAUAAAUAGAGAAGAAAUGGCAUUUCAUGAUCAGAUCACAUUUUUAAAGGAUGUUGGAAAUUACCAAAGCAGGGGAAAUGGACGUCCUGCAGAGACGGCCUAUACUCAGGUGUGUUCCCUCAUGGU